RNAcentral lists this ribosomal RNA (253 nucleotides) under uncultured bacterium. Its description in RNAcentral is "partial 16S ribosomal RNA". It matches the Rfam family "Bacterial small subunit ribosomal RNA", at positions 524 to 776 of the family's 1533-position model. The record is from RNAcentral.
UACGUAUGGUGCGAACGUUGUUCGGAAUCACUGGGCAUAAAGAGCACGUAGGCGGUUAAGCAAGUCCAUUGUGAAAUCCCCCGGCCUAACCGGGGAACUGCAUUGGAUACUACUUGACUUGAGUGCAGGAGGGGAGAGUGGAAUUCCGAGUGUAGAGGUGAAAUUCGUAGAUAUUCGGAGGAACACCAGUGGCGAAGGCGGCUCACUGGCUCGAUACUGACGCUGAGGUGCGAAAGCGUGGGGAGCAAACAGG